UUGAUCCUGGCUCAGAAUCAACGCUGGCGGCGUGCCUAACACAUGCAAGUCGAACGCGAAAGUCCCGCAAGGGAUCAGUAGAGUGGCAAACGGGUGAGUUACACGUGGGUGACCUGCCUUCGAGCGGGGGAUAACGUCCCGAAAGGGACUCUAAUACCGCAUGACAUCCUGCCUUUGAAGAGGUGGAGAUCAAAGCUGGUGAUCGCAAGACCUAGCACUCGAAGAGGGGCCCGCGCCCGAUUAGCUAGUUGGUGGGGUAACGGCUCACCAAGGCAACGAUCAGUAUCCGGCCUGAGAGGUCGGACGGACACACUGGGACUGAGACGCGGCCCAGACUCCUACGGGAGGCUGCAGUGGGGAAUUGUUCGCAAUGGGCGCAAGCCUGACGACGCAACGCCGUGUGGAGGAUGAAGACCUUCGGGUCGUAAACUCCUUUCGAUCGAGACGAAUGGCUUCCGGGUGAACAACCCGGAAGAGUGACGGUACCGAGAGAAGAAGCUCCGGCUAACUCCGUGCCAGCAGCCGCGGUAAUAAGGU
Molecule: ribosomal RNA, 537 nt
Filed under: uncultured Acidobacteriota bacterium
Lineage: Bacteria; Pseudomonadati; Acidobacteriota
Description: bacterial SSU rRNA
Rfam family: Bacterial small subunit ribosomal RNA
Source: RNAcentral